Nothoprocta perdicaria is the source of this 287-nucleotide long non-coding RNA. RefSeq lists it as uncharacterized. The transcript has 2 exons. The record is from RefSeq and is a predicted model, not a curated record. NCBI's taxonomy places the organism in Eukaryota, Metazoa, Chordata, Aves, Tinamiformes, Tinamidae.
GCUGCUUGCGCGGCGCCUUCCCGCCCGUCGACUUACGCGCCGUCUGCUUCGUGCGCGCCAUAGCCGAAUUGCUCCCUUAAACCAAACCUGAACAAAGAAAAAUGCAGCUCGCGCCCGGCUCUGCCUCAUAUUUAUAUCCCACGCUCUUUCCCCAUUGGUUGAUCGAAAGAGUGACUCUGAUUGGACCGAUUUGAACGACGCCGUCGACAAAAGGGCCCGAGAUCUAUUGCAUCUGAUAUUUUCGCGACCAAGGGAAUAUUAACGUAUUCGAACUAUUACUGCAACAG